RNAcentral lists this long non-coding RNA (825 nucleotides) under Gallus gallus (chicken). RNAcentral describes it as "long non-coding RNA NONGGAT001255". Lineage: Eukaryota; Metazoa; Chordata; Aves; Galliformes; Phasianidae. The record is from RNAcentral.
AGGCAGGAGGCGGGAAGCGGCGGAGGGUGUCUGAGGGUGCUGAUGUCUGAAAAUCCUUUAGGUGGCUUUACCAGAUGGAGGAGGAAAGUGGCUGAACAAAGUUAGGAGCAAUGCUGAAGAUGUGACGGCAGCCCAACCUGUUAGUGGUACGGAGCCAGGAUCACCUCUCGCCUAGGCUUCCUGCCCUGCAAACAGCAGGACCUCACAGAUAUCAAGCAAACAUGAUCAGCCCAAUGUGCCAAGGCAGGGUGUGCAUGCUUGCCCAUGGCAGCCAACAGCAGCUCUGCUUCAUUACAGAGAUCUGCCUGCGAUGAUGGGGCAGCUAACAUGCAAGUCCUGCCCUCUGUCCUGCCAGCAGUUGAGCUAGAAUUUAAAAAUACUGAGUUUUAUGGGUUAUGUUUUUGGGUUUUUUAAGUGUUGCUGUAAUUUGGGCGGUUCUGUAAACAGGCCUCUAGCUCUGGGUGGGGUCACAAAGGAAGCCAGACUGAAGCCAGUGGAAUUUUUUACAUUCAUGAAACUUUUGGUAACAUGAAGAGAUUAGGACAGAAGGUGGAGGCAGAUGAGGAGUGAAAACAAAUCUAGGGCCAGGGUUUAUGGCUGGGGUGAGGACUUAGGCAGAAGGCAUGGUGUCCUCAGCCUCCGCAUUCUUCUCUUGCCAGGAGGCAGCUGCAGAACCCGCCAGCAAGCAGUGAUUCACUUCUCUCUUCAUUAGAGAAAGCUUCAGAUGAAUGAUAACGUUUCUGGCUGUUCUGGUACUUAUGCUGAUUUUCUUUUUACCUUCUGUAAUAAGUAUGUCCCUGAGAAAUUUACACUUAUUAAAAAAAA